Molecule: non-coding RNA, 74 nt
Organism: Trichonephila inaurata madagascariensis
Lineage: Eukaryota; Metazoa; Arthropoda; Arachnida; Araneae; Nephilidae
Source: the annotation of a GenBank genome assembly
UGGAGUGUAGCUGAGAUGACAGAGCGCUCGCUUAGCAUGCGAGAGAUACGGGGAUUGAUACCCCGCGCCUCCAA